RNAcentral lists this ribosomal RNA (1107 nucleotides) under Triticum aestivum (bread wheat). RNAcentral describes it as "partial small subunit ribosomal RNA". Lineage: Eukaryota; Viridiplantae; Streptophyta; Magnoliopsida; Poales; Poaceae. The record is from RNAcentral.
AUGGCUGGGCCGUCGGUGACCACGCCCUCAGCAGAGGCAGCGUCUGGAAGUGGCGGACCCCGUGGUUCCCACGACAUGGAUUGCAACUUGGAAGAUCGCUUUGUUGGACUAAAUCUCCUUGGUGAGGAGGAGGAGGAUCUAGAUCUGUCGGGUGAAGUUGAUAAACUCAUCGAAGAGACUAGAUGGAUCGCAAUAUUUAGGGUUCACACCCAACGCCCCUUUAGCCAUGUAGCGUUGUUCAAAUCUUUGCGUAAUGGUUGGGCCCCGGCACAAGGCGUGAUCUUCAAAACAAUGAACCCUAACCUAUUCUUAGCACAGUUUAUGUGUUUGGGCGACUGGAAUCGGGUCAUGAACAAUGGCCCAUGGCUGUUUCAAGAUAAUGUUGUGGUCAUAGAGGAAUAUGACGGUAUCAGCAACGUCCAGGACUACAAGCUUGAUCAAAUCCCGGUGUGGGCAAGGAUCAUUGGUAUACCAGAUGGGCUUAUGAAGAAGAAAGAGAUUGCUGAGAAAAUAGCUGCAAUAGUUGGAAUUCCUCCGUUCAGAGUUGUUGUUAAUGAAGGGAUAAUUAAUCCCAGGAAGUACCUUCGCGCUCGCGUCUUCGUGAAGCUUGAUACACCCCUGGUGAGGAAGGAGGGCUGUGAAUGGUGUGACUGGCUCCUGGUGAAUUUUGAGUCGCAAGCUAAUCGAGGAGGAGGGAAUGGAAUGGGUCGUGGAGGCGGUUCAAGUGGGAAUGGGGGAGAUGCGGGUGGAUGGAGAGGUAAUAGAGGGGAACCCAACAUGGAAGAAGCAAAUGACAUGGUGGUAGACCCCAAUUCGUUUCAGAAUGAGGGUGCAAUGGUUCCUAUGGCUCGCAAAAGGCUGAUAGGCCAGGAUGGUGUUGUGUGUGUGAAAUCUGGAGGCCUGCCGCAGACCCCUCCUUUGGGUUUUGUACAUGAGAAAGUGAACCUGAUUGAGAGCAGCACCUCAGAACCGGUGGACAAGAGUUUGUUAAGCACCCCGCAAAAGAUACAUGAUCCCAAGAGGCAGAGAUCUGAGGCAAGUACUGAAGUGAACGAAGCUACGUCAGGAUCGGCGACCUCCCGAGAGGAGGAUCGCUGGGCACAAUGA